RNAcentral lists this ribosomal RNA (361 nucleotides) under uncultured bacterium. Its description in RNAcentral is "partial 16S ribosomal RNA". It matches the Rfam family "Bacterial small subunit ribosomal RNA", at positions 338 to 696 of the family's 1533-position model. The record is from RNAcentral.
CCUACGGGAGGCAGCAGUGAGGAAUAUUGGUCAAUGGCCGCAAGGCUGAACCAGCCAAGCCGCGUGAGGGAGGAAGGCGCAGAGCGUCGCAGACCACUUUUGCCGGGGGAUAAAUGGCCGUACUCGUCCGGUCUUGAGGGUAUCCGGAGAAAAAGCAUCGGCUAACUCCGUGCCAGCAGCCGCGGUAAUACGGAGGAUUCGAGCGUUAUCCGGAUUUAUUGGGUUUAAAGGGUGCGUAGGCGGUUCUUUAAGUCAGGGGUGAAAUCCCGGGGCUCAACUCCGGCCGAGCCGUCGAUACUGGGGGGCUAGAGUGCAGCGGAGGCAUGCGGAAUGCACAGUGUAGCGGUGAAAUGCUUAGAUA